This 1459-nucleotide ribosomal RNA is filed under the name Salmonella enterica subsp. enterica serovar Kiambu. RNAcentral describes it as "bacterial SSU rRNA". It matches the Rfam family "Bacterial small subunit ribosomal RNA". The record is from RNAcentral. Lineage: Bacteria; Pseudomonadati; Pseudomonadota; Gammaproteobacteria; Enterobacterales; Enterobacteriaceae.
GCUGACGAGUGGCGGACGGGUGAGUAAUGUCUGGGAAACUGCCUGAUGGAGGGGGAUAACUACUGGAAACGGUGGCUAAUACCGCAUAACGUCGCAAGACCAAAGAGGGGGACCUUCGGGCCUCUUGCCAUCAGAUGUGCCCAGAUGGGAUUAGCUAGUUGGUGAGGUAACGGCUCACCAAGGCGACGAUCCCUAGCUGGUCUGAGAGGAUGACCAGCCACACUGGAACUGAGACACGGUCCAGACUCCUACGGGAGGCAGCAGUGGGGAAUAUUGCACAAUGGGCGCAAGCCUGAUGCAGCCAUGCCGCGUGUAUGAAGAAGGCCUUCGGGUUGUAAAGUACUUUCAGCGGGGAGGAAGGUGUUGUGGUUAAUAACCGCAGCAAUUGACGUUACCCGCAGAAGAAGCACCGGCUAACUCCGUGCCAGCAGCCGCGGUAAUACGGAGGGUGCAAGCGUUAAUCGGAAUUACUGGGCGUAAAGCGCACGCAGGCGGUCUGUCAAGUCGGAUGUGAAAUCCCCGGGCUCAACCUGGGAACUGCAUUCGAAACUGGCAGGCUUGAGUCUUGUAGAGGGGGGUAGAAUUCCAGGUGUAGCGGUGAAAUGCGUAGAGAUCUGGAGGAAUACCGGUGGCGAAGGCGGCCCCCUGGACAAAGACUGACGCUCAGGUGCGAAAGCGUGGGGAGCAAACAGGAUUAGAUACCCUGGUAGUCCACGCCGUAAACGAUGUCUACUUGGAGGUUGUGCCCUUGAGGCGUGGCUUCCGGAGCUAACGCGUUAAGUAGACCGCCUGGGGAGUACGGCCGCAAGGUUAAAACUCAAAUGAAUUGACGGGGGCCCGCACAAGCGGUGGAGCAUGUGGUUUAAUUCGAUGCAACGCGAAGAACCUUACCUGGUCUUGACAUCCACAGAACUUUCCAGAGAUGGAUUGGUGCCUUCGGGAACUGUGAGACAGGUGCUGCAUGGCUGUCGUCAGCUCGUGUUGUGAAAUGUUGGGUUAAGUCCCGCAACGAGCGCAACCCUUAUCCUUUGUUGCCAGCGGUCCGGCCGGGAACUCAAAGGAGACUGCCAGUGAUAAACUGGAGGAAGGUGGGGAUGACGUCAAGUCAUCAUGGCCCUUACGACCAGGGCUACACACGUGCUACAAUGGCGCAUACAAAGAGAAGCGACCUCGCGAGAGCAAGCGGACCUCAUAAAGUGCGUCGUAGUCCGGAUUGGAGUCUGCAACUCGACUCCAUGAAGUCGGAAUCGCUAGUAAUCGUGGAUCAGAAUGCCACGGUGAAUACGUUCCCGGGCCUUGUACACACCGCCCGUCACACCAUGGGAGUGGGUUGCAAAAGAAGUAGGUAGCUUAACCUUCGGGAGGGCGCUUACCACUUUGUGAUUCAUGACUGGGGUGAAGUCGUAACAAGGUAACCGUAGGGGAACCUGCGGUUGGAUCACCUCCUUACCUUAAAGAA